UUGUCUUCUAAAUAAAGACCAGUAUGAAUGGCUAAAUGAGGACGAACCUGUCUCUUACGACUAAUCAGUGAAACUGAUCUUCCAGUACAAAAGCUGGAAUAAUCACAUAAGACGAGAAGACCCUGUGGAGCUUAAAAUAAGCCGCUAACAAACAACAUGCCAUAGCCUGCCAUUUUAAGUUGGGGCGACUUCGGAAAAAAACAAAACUUCCGAGCACAGAACCACCACUUCUAUUAAAGGCCAACAAGCCAAAAUACGAGCUGACCCGGCCAAACCGAUCAACGAACCAAGUUACCCCAGGGAUAACAGCGCUAUCUUCUUCAAGAGUCCCUAUCAACAAGAAGGUUUACGACCUCGAUGUUGGAUCAGGACACCCAAAUGGUGCAGCCGCUAUUAAAGGUUCGUUUGUUCAACGAUU
This 418-nucleotide ribosomal RNA is filed under the name Chioninia vaillantii. RNAcentral's name for it is "partial 16S ribosomal RNA". It matches the Rfam family "Bacterial large subunit ribosomal RNA", at positions 1969 to 2589 of the family's 2925-position model. Lineage: Eukaryota; Metazoa; Chordata; Lepidosauria; Squamata; Scincidae. The record is from RNAcentral.